UGAACCAGUCAGGGUGUCCUGCCCCAGCUCCUCCAGAACUCAACAUUCUAUCCCCGAGGGCUGUGAGGGCCGUGUGCGGGAUGCAGUACCUGACACCCGGGCACCUUUUGGGUGCAAUCUCUCUUCCUUUAGCUUCAGAUGGCUCCCCAGUAGAGGAGGAAGGGUAAAGUAUGAGAAGACUGGGGCAGGAGAUGAAGCAUCAGGUAACUCGGCUGGUGGUGGAGGACGGCUUGCUUGCUUCCUUCACUGGCCAGCGCUGGGUGAGGCAGAGCCAGUCAGUGGUCCCUGAAGCAUGCACCCGGGCCACUGCCAAUCUCAUGGAGAAGAGACCUGCAGAAAGAAGGCUGAGGCACUCAGGCGUGCAUGGUAGCCUUCACAGCAGGGACACCGGUUCUCAGGGCAGGCCGGCAGCCCAACAGAAACAAGCCAGGUGCUUCCAGAAGCCACUCACUCAGCUUUGGUAGGAAGAAAACUUGGACAAUCUUCCUUCCUGGAGCUUUAGAGAAGGCCGUGCUUGUUGAUGGGUGUGGCCGGGAGACGGAAAAAACAAACCGAAGAGGAACCCAAUCAUCCCGCACAACUCCCCAUGCACAAAGUGGGCCUGCGGCAGGUGCGUGGGCUCAUACCUGGGCAUGCUCCCUGUGCCCAUCAUCACUCAGGCAGCUCGUCCCAGGGACACAAGGUGUGUCAUCACAGAGACUGCCACCACAAAGCCGUCCAACUGGGGUCCACACUGUCAGCCCAGGUGCGGUGGUUCUGCCCUGGUGAGACACACUGCUGGCAAGAGUCAAUCAUCCUCUUUCCCAGGCCACUGAGCCAAGCCACAGCCAGAUGAUGCACAACCCAGUGCCACAGCUGCACUUGAAAUCUUCCUCAGUGUAAAUGCUGCUUUUAGAAAAAGCUGCUUUUAAGUGUACCUCUGGUAAAUAUUUGAGAUUUAUUUCUUGGUGGGCAUAAAAAAUAGAGGAAAACAAGAGUGUAAGAUACAGGGAUGGAAAUUUUAGGAGGAUCUUAGAUGGUACCUGUGAAAGACUCUCCCGACCCCCGCUGUUGUUCCCACCAAGUCACUGCUCUGGCAGUGAAUGGGCACACUGUCCCGCCCUCAUCAGUGGCCUUCUGAUGGCCACAAGGAUGGUAUUUACCCUGGACCUCCUGUCUACACACCCAGCACCGUCUUGUCUCCAGUGGUGUGACCUAUGGGAAUGGACAUAGUUGUAGCACACUGUUAGACAGUGUGAUCUAGCCAAGAGGCAGGUGUCUGCUGUUCAUCUGUUCUGACAGCAGUGAUGCCACGCUCCCCACUUUCUGAAGACCCGAUCCCAGACCAUGAGAAGCCGGGCCAUUUGGCCAUGCCCUGUCCACCCCAGGUUCCUCUGCUCCAUCCACACUGAUGUUCCUGAUGAUUCUGCGUAUGCCGUUCUCACCAGGGCCUUAGCUGCUCUGCCUUCUUUCCUCACCAUCCAUACAACCACCUUCUAAUCAAACCACAGCCCAGAGGCCAAUUCCUUUGUGAAGUCUGCAAGGGCCCCAUAAGCCACUCUGACCCACUGAGUUAUCAGACCGCUGGGGAUAGAAAUGGUGUCUUUACAUACCUGAAUCCCCACUGCCUAGCCCCGUGUCUGGCACAAGGCAGGGACCCAGCCCAUGCUUACUGAAUCGAAGUAGUCCAGACAGAUAGACUUUCACCAGCAAACAGCAAGGGCUGAACUUGACUUUCCUGAAAAAGGUCUCUACUGUGUCCACACAGCCAGGACUCCUGCCAGCAUCAGUAAGGAGCUGGCACAGCACCAGGAGCACCCACAACACAGCACACGGCCGAGAGGUCUCGACUAGGAAGCAGCAUGCUAUCUUCAAAGUCCGUUGGGCUACUGCCAGAGACACACAGGCCUGGCCACACACUGCCACACUGUACAUCCUCUGGCUAAUCAAUUCACAGUGCAGAAAUAACAAUGGGCCCCACAGUGCCUUCAUUAACCUCCUAGAUCGCAUGGGAAAACACAGGCUGAUGAGCACCUCAGGGAACCGAGCAAAACAUCCCCUGCUGCAAAGCCAGCCCGGCCCUUGGGUCGUUUUUCUUUUCUCUUUUCGAGAAAUGUAUACAAUUUCUAUGUGCUUUAGGUAAACAUUUAAAAACAUUAAUUAGUCCCAGAGACACUUUGUAUACUAUAGAUUUAGUGUAAUCUGAGUAAAGUAUGGUGGUUAGAAAUGAGUCUCUGAUUAUCAUGUUUCCUGAACAGAAAUGAGAACAGCUGGCCCUGUACUAAGAUAAAUAUAUGAAACUGGAACACAUCAGAAAGUAUGUCCUGUAUGCCUUAUUUUUCCAACAGUUAGCAAAGUAUUGAUUUUUAA
This is a long non-coding RNA of Mus caroli (Ryukyu mouse), 2349 nucleotides long. RefSeq lists it as uncharacterized. The record is from RefSeq and is a predicted model, not a curated record. NCBI's taxonomy places the organism in Eukaryota, Metazoa, Chordata, Mammalia, Rodentia, Muridae.